RNAcentral lists this transfer RNA (72 nucleotides) under Camelus bactrianus (Bactrian camel). It matches the Rfam family "tRNA". From Rfam's summary of the family: Transfer RNA (tRNA) molecules are approximately 80 nucleotides in length. Their secondary structure includes four short double-helical elements and three loops (D, anti-codon, and T loops). Further hydrogen bonds mediate the characteristic L-shaped molecular structure. tRNAs have two regions of fundamental functional importance: the anti-codon, which is responsible for specific mRNA codon recognition, and the 3' end, to which the tRNAs corresponding amino acid is attached (by aminoacyl-tRNA synthetases). tRNAs cope with the degeneracy of the genetic code in two manners: having more than one tRNA (with a specific anti-codon) for a particular amino acid; and 'wobble' base-pairing, i.e. permitting non-standard base-pairing at the 3rd anti-codon position. Lineage: Eukaryota; Metazoa; Chordata; Mammalia; Artiodactyla; Camelidae. The record is from Rfam by way of RNAcentral. RNAcentral also lists the same sequence under 2 other names.
GGAGGUAUAGCUCAGUGGUAGAGCGUGUGCUUAGCAUGCACGAGGUCCUGGCUUCAAUCCUCAGUGCCUCCA